This 447-nucleotide long non-coding RNA is filed under the name Piliocolobus tephrosceles (Ugandan red Colobus). Its description in RNAcentral is "lncRNA (ENSPTEG00000007892.1)". Lineage: Eukaryota; Metazoa; Chordata; Mammalia; Primates; Cercopithecidae. The record is from RNAcentral.
GGUAGCUGAGGUUUCACUGCGCUGCUGAGAGAAGAGCUGUAGAAGAUCAGAAGUAAACACGCUGACUUGAAGACAGUGAAGACUAAUGAAGUAGAACGUCAGAAACCUACUGUGAAGGAAACUGAAAUUAACACAGCCCUUCCCAAGCAAUUCUUCGGGAAAAGAGAAGAAAAACUUCCUUACAAAGCAUUUUGAGGAUUUGUGAAAAAUUGACAAACAGAGGUUCAAGAAAUGGAAUUCCUUCAGUUUUCUAAAGUGUCCUAGCUGCAACCAGCAGGUGCCUCAUGUCGUGAAGGCUGUGAAGACUUCACUCCUGGCUCCAUCCUAGAGGAGAUGGUGGCUUCUGAGAGCCUCAAAAGAUCACCACGCUAUGGAAAGAAACAAAAGGAAGGAAGAAGAAUGAGAAUACCAUCCUGCCACACACAGGGAGACAUAUGGCACACUUGA